CAGUCGCCGCGGUAAUACGUAGGGUCCGAGCGUUGUCCGGAAUUAUUGGGCGUAAAGGGCUCGUAGGCGGUUUGUUGCGUCGGGAGUGAAAACCCAGGGCUUAACUUUGGGCUUGCUUUCGAUACGGGCAGACUUGAGGCAUUGAGGGGAGAACGGAAUUCCUGGUGUAGCGGUGAAAUGCGCAGAUAUCAGGAGGAACACCGGUGGCGAAGGCGGUUCUCUGGCAAUGUUCUGACGCUGAGGAGCGAAAGUGUGGGGAGCGAACAGGAUUAGAUACCCCCGUAGUCCCUGUCUCUUAUAC
Molecule: ribosomal RNA, 301 nt
Filed under: uncultured bacterium
Lineage: Bacteria
Description: partial 16S ribosomal RNA
Rfam family: Bacterial small subunit ribosomal RNA
Source: RNAcentral